This 253-nucleotide ribosomal RNA is filed under the name uncultured bacterium. RNAcentral's name for it is "partial 16S ribosomal RNA". It matches the Rfam family "Bacterial small subunit ribosomal RNA", at positions 524 to 776 of the family's 1533-position model. The record is from RNAcentral.
UACGUAGGGGGCAAGCGUUGUCCGGAUUUAUUGGGCGUAAAGAGCGUGUAGGCGGCUAGGUAGGUCCGUUGUGAUAACUCGAGGCUCAACCUCGAGACGUCGAUGGAAACCAUCUAGCUAGAGUCCGGAAGAGGAGAGUGGAAUUCCUGGUGUAGCGGUGAAAUGCGCAGAUAUCAGGAAGAACACCCGUGGCGAAGGCGGCUCUCUGGUACGUGACUGACGCUGAGACGCGAAAGCGUGGGGAGCGAACAGG